Bubalus bubalis (water buffalo) is the source of this 1223-nucleotide long non-coding RNA. RefSeq lists it as uncharacterized. The transcript is spliced from 4 exons. NCBI's taxonomy places the organism in Eukaryota, Metazoa, Chordata, Mammalia, Artiodactyla, Bovidae. The record is from RefSeq and is a predicted model, not a curated record.
UUAGGCGGCGGCUGUUUGUUGGGCUUGGGGAUGCACUGAAUCUCUCAGCAUCUGUUAUCGUAGCAUUCAGUCAAGCAGGUGAGGGAUGCACACUGGUGGGUUCAGGGCAACAGCUGAGGCCGACAGCACACGUGCAUUUGGGUUGUAGGAGUAAGAAGGCGGUUGUAAAAGGGGGCAAGUUUUCUUCCUAAUCACUUUGCCAAAUAGCUGUUGAAAUUCCAGGAACGUAGAAUCCAGAACCACAGAGGCAUAUUCACUGUCUCUGGAUACGGUGGAUUCUUUGCCGCUGAGGCACAAGAGACGCCCUUCCCUUGUUAAGAGAACCACUUUACCUGGGAUAAGGUGGUCUGAUAAAAAACAAAACAAGGACUGAACAUGGAAGAACCUCAGGAUUCUAAAAUUUUACAGCUGGAAUUGCCCUAGAUAUCAGCAAGUUUAUGGGAAAUAUUUAAUUUUAAAAAUGAAGGCCUGGAUGGAUUUAAUGGGCUCCAGCACCCUGACUUCAGAAUUUAAUGGUGGAGCACAAUUGAAAACUGAGUUCUCCAUAAUAAGCAAGUGAAAGAAAAUGUUAAAAAAAUCUGCAUCAAGAAGACAGAGUGCCAGGUACUUAAAAGUCCAUCCCAGAAAGUGUUCCAACAGAUCAUCCGCAGUCAGUCACCACGCUCACAGCCUAGAGCAGCUGAUGGCCCACUGCUUACUUCAAGUUAAAUGUUUAGUUACUUUCCUCUGAGAAGACACAACCCAUUUGCUCUUCAGCUCUGCAAGGAGUGAGACAGCUGUACACAGAUAAACAGUUUUCAAACUGCCACUAAUCACCAUGUGUGGGAAGCCAAAUAGAUGGUCUGAUUCCUUUUAGAUCAUGUUUUCUGAGAUUUUCAUUGAUUCACUCUGUAGGUUUAUUGGGUCCCAUCUACGUGACAAGCACUCUUCCCAGGGCUGGAAUUGCUGCCAUGAACAAGCAGAUGAAGUCCUUCUCUCAUGGAGCUUACCUUCUAUUUUGAGAGGGUUUUUCUGUUUUUUUUUUUUUUUAGCACUACUAAGAAAAGGGGCAGGAGACAGAAAAAAGACAAGUCAGUAAAAGCAGCGACAAAGACUGCAUAAAAUGAACGUGAGGUGCUCUGAAGGUCAAGGACUGAGGUCAGAGAAGGGUUAAAAAUCCAAUAAGUGAUAUGUAACCUGAGAUCUGAAUGACAGACAGCCCUUUCUGCAGAUCUGAAGGGAAA